GUGCCAGCCGCCGCGGUAAUACGUAGGUGGCGAGCGUUGUCCGGAUUUACUGGGCGUAAAGGAUGCGUAGGCGGAUAUUUAAGUGAGAUGUGAAAUACCCGAGCUUAACUUGGGUGCUGCAUUUCAAACUGGAUAUCUAGAGUGUGGGAGAGGAGAAUGGAAUUCCUAGUGUAGCGGUGAAAUGCGUAGAGAUUAGGAAGAACACCAGUGGCGAAGGCGAUUCUCUGGACCAUAACUGACGCUGAGGCAUGAAAGCGUGGGUAGCAAACAGGAUUAGAUACCCUGGUAGUCC
This 292-nucleotide ribosomal RNA is filed under the name uncultured bacterium. RNAcentral describes it as "partial 16S ribosomal RNA". It matches the Rfam family "Bacterial small subunit ribosomal RNA", at positions 505 to 796 of the family's 1533-position model. The record is from RNAcentral.